This is a small nuclear RNA of 163 nucleotides. Its record names the gene U1. It matches the Rfam family "U1 spliceosomal RNA". Rfam says of the family: U1 is a small nuclear RNA (snRNA) component of the spliceosome (involved in pre-mRNA splicing). Its 5' end forms complementary base pairs with the 5' splice junction, thus defining the 5' donor site of an intron. There are significant differences in sequence and secondary structure between metazoan and yeast U1 snRNAs, the latter being much longer (568 nucleotides as compared to 164 nucleotides in human). The record is from Ensembl.
AUACUUACCUGGCAGGGGAGAUACCGUGAUCAAGAAGGCGGUUCACCCAGGGCGAGGCUCAGCCAUUGCACUUCGGCUGUGCUGACCCCUGCGAAUUCCCCAAAUGUGGGAAUCUCGACUGCAUUUUUUUUUUUUUUUUUUUGGGGGGCAGUGGUGGCCUAGC